Molecule: long non-coding RNA, 1284 nt
Filed under: Helianthus annuus (common sunflower)
Lineage: Eukaryota; Viridiplantae; Streptophyta; Magnoliopsida; Asterales; Asteraceae
Description: sRNA HanXRQr2_Chr04g0160601
Source: RNAcentral
GUCUCCAAUAGCCAACCUCUUAGAUUUGAAUACAACUUCGUUCCUAUUUUUUCAGAUUAUCAAACAAGAUAACAGAAUUAUCAACUUGACAACAUCUCUUUUAACCUCUGGUCCGCCUAAGGUUCUGUGAACAUUGAGCAGGUCUUGCAAGGAAAAAGCAUAUAUUUGGGGAAUAUGACACCGGAUGGAGAUCAUUUGCCAUAGAACGCUCGCUAUAUAACAAGAAAUCAUAAGGUGUUCCAAUGACUCGUCUGCCUCACCACAUAAUGGACAGGAGAAGGGCGACCCCCACUCUCAAAACCCUAACAACUCACUAAUCUCUCAAAUUGAAGGCUCAAACCAAGUUAAAAUCGAAAAUCGAGCAUAGAUUACUGAUCCCCAUUGCAAGGGGGUUGUAAGAAUAGAGAUGAUAUAGCGUCUUGAUGGAGAAUGUGAAACCCAGGUGUUAAAUUGUUUAAAUAUUGUGUUUUAUUGCGUUUUAGGCGAUUGUGUGUUUCGAAUAUGAUAUCUACGGGGUUUUGUGGUUUCACAGGUUAACCGUCUAAACCGGUAAAGUUAGAGCACGUGUUGAUGAAGCGGAACUAGCAGGGAUGAUAAACAAUGCAAAAGAUAUAAUUCGAUAGAUGUUUUGUGUCUAAAAGAUUGUUUGGAUGCAAAAGGAACGCACACGAACGAAGUCUAGGGGCCGUUAAUUAGUUAAUAAAAUGUUCCAGCCAUGCAAGAAUGUAGCCCACGUUAUGGUUUUGAGGUUUGAGAACACAUGAAAAGGAGUCAGGGAACACGUGAAAAGCAAUAAAAAGAAGAGGCACACGAAGAUCAAUUGUUUUGGAUUGGGCCGAUUGGAAACAAAGUCAAAGACAUCAUCAUUCUUUAUUGAAGGAAGCAGUUCACGUAGACUUCUUGUUGGGCCGAUUGGUGGAGUGACAUUUACGUGGACUGGGGGAAUUUAUUGAAGGGAUUGUUUUGUUGGACCAAGCCCAUCAUAUUUUGUGGAGAUAUUGGGCUGCACAUGUGAGGAUUGGAAGGAAUAUUAGAAAGCAGCCGACAUCAACAUAUAGGGGGGGAUCAUUGACGGCAGUGGGGGGUUUCAACCGUGGUUCAAGCUUGUGAAGAUCAUACAACCGAGAUGAGCGGCUAAAUCUUUCGUCGACACUUCGGGUGAAUGAUUGUGUAAGACACUAUUGAUUUGGUUUAUUGUUUUAUGUAUUGAGUUCGGAUUGUAACCGUGUGACAGACGGUCUUUACUUGCGUUUUUAUAAUUCGUUUGACAAACGAAUCCUGUGU